Molecule: ribosomal RNA, 480 nt
Filed under: Planctomycetaceae bacterium
Lineage: Bacteria; Pseudomonadati; Planctomycetota; Planctomycetia; Planctomycetales; Planctomycetaceae
Description: bacterial SSU rRNA
Rfam family: Bacterial small subunit ribosomal RNA
Source: RNAcentral
UAAACAAUUGAAGGGUUUGAUCCUGGCUCAGAAUGAACGUUGGCGGCGUGGAUUAGGCAUGCAAGUCGUGCGGAAAGGCUCCUUCGGGAGUACUCGAGCGGCGAAAGGGAGAGUAAUGCGUGGAUAUCUGCCCCCUGGUCUGGGAUAGCGGUGGGAAACUGCCGGUAAUACCAGAUAAUGUCUGCGGACCAAAGGUGUGAUUCCGCCGGGGGAUGAGUCCGCGUCCUAUUAGCUAGUUGGUAGGGUAAUGGCCUACCAAGGCGAAGAUGGGUACCGGGUGUGAGAGCAUGGCCCGGCUCACUGGGACUGAGACACUGCCCAGACACCUACGGGUGGCUGCAGUCGAGAAUCUUCGGCAAUGGGCGAAAGCCUGACCGAGCGACGCCGCGUGCGGGAUGAAGGCCUUCGGGUUGUAAACCGCUGUCAGAGGGGAGGAAAUGCAUGGGAGUUAUCUCCCAUGUUUGACCUAUCCUCAGAGGA